Long non-coding RNA from Passer domesticus (house sparrow), 6110 nucleotides. RefSeq lists it as uncharacterized. The record is from RefSeq and is a predicted model, not a curated record. Lineage: Eukaryota; Metazoa; Chordata; Aves; Passeriformes; Passeridae. The transcript has 3 exons.
UCUCAGGCAGGAGAUUUUCUUGCUUCAAAGGCUUUUAUUAAAAACCAGUGCAGGUAAAUGCUGACAAUAAGCAAGCAAACCUGUUGAGCCUCGAGUCCACAACUCGCCAGGCAACAGGAUGCUUCUCUGUGACAUUUAAGAGUGCUAACACCUGAAGAAAAUAUUGCAUGUUUUACCCUUUCUGCUUAAAAUAACAUGAAAAAGUGCUGCUCUUGCAAUUGCAUUAAGGGGCAUUUUCAGCAGGCUGUCCUCACCUCUGUCCCCAGGAUCUAAGGGCUCCUAGCUGCCUUUGAUUAAAGGAAACCUUCUCCAUUAGUGCCCUGGACAGGACUUUGAAAUACCCCAAAGCAGCUUUAUCUACCCCGAAAGCAGCUCCACGUUUAGGGUGGAAUUAGGGUGGGCUGAGGCAGGGCUCCUGGCAGGGUGUGCAUGCAGAGCACUUCCAGCCAAUGAGCUCCAGGGAGUUAAUUAGUGUGUUAUCCCAAUUACCUGUGGAGCAUGCUAUUACCCUCAGCUUUCUCUAGCUACAGCCACUUUUGGUGAGUGCUACUCCACAUUCCCUCAGAGCAGCUCCCUCCAGCUCCUUGGGCUACCCUGAGUUUGGAACCCCGUGCAGCUGAAAAGGGAAAAUCCCGUGCUCUGAAGUCCAGAACUCCAGGGCCUUCAGCAGAGUUGCUCCAGGAAUAAAUCUGACUCCCCAGUUUUCAUCCAGAAAUGUUGGUGCUGGAUGCAGACACAAAGGUGUUGGGGAGAGGAACCAGAACCUCCUGGGUUCAGGAUGAGUUUCCACCCGAAGCUGGGCUUACACUAAAGCUCCUCUGCAAUGUGAGAGGCUCACACAGCCAUAAAUGUAGGAUCUGACAUUGGAAGUAAAUAUCUUCAGACAGCUCCUUGCCAAAGUGGUAAAAUCCAUCCUCAGCAGAUGUGGCUGCCUGGCUUCUUUAGGAGCAAAAAAAUUCAAGAUGUCUCCUGUAAGGAGUUUGGGUAGACAGGAAAGCUGCUGGUCUAUGCAUAGGGGGAAUUAUCUGGGAUGUUUUAAGUGGAAAGAGUAAUGGCAUGAAACUGAGCUAAGGAAAACUUCAAGCCAUGGAAAAAAUAAUACAGGCUAGUGGUCUGUGGACUGGUCUCCUGAGAGAUCUAGGAAAGCCAUGCCAUGCUGGCCAGUGAAAACCACAGUGGGAAUAGACGAAAGAAAAAUAUUGUAGUUGUCAGCAGGAUGGACAAGGUGCCCUGUGGGAUUUUCAGAGUGAUUCAAGAGUACUUGUUUUCAUGUUUUGUUUCCUAAUUGGCCAAAACAUAUACAACAGACUCUCACAGGACUGUGCUGAGCCAAAACUCUUGCUGAAGUCAGAUGAAGAACUUUUGAGCCUGUGCUGUUGGAAAAUGUCCAUGGGUGAAAUUGUGGGAGGUACGACGUGUGAGAAAUUCCCACCAAAAUGCUCAUUUUGCUGUACAUCUUCCCUACAGGAGACACGUGUGUAAUUAGCAAUUGCUUCCAGUAAAUGGCUCUCUGAUCAUGAUGAAAAUCCAAUUUGGAGGAAAUUGUUGUAAAAAACACAAUUUAUGGCUGGGCCCUCAUGAUAAGAAGUGCCUGGCUGGUGGAGCACCUCUGAUUCCAACUGAGUGUUGUUGUGUAAAGGGUUGGCUUUGGGGAUUUUCUGCCCAAAACCAGCGUGGUGGGGGGAAGGAAGUGCCCUCUUAAACGUGGCUGAUCUUCCACUCUGUGGCAUUUCACUUUGGUGCACUGUGGCCACGUGGUGGUUGGAGGAUAUGACCCCUGAAGAAGCCUCUCGAAAGCAGCUCUCGUUCUGUUUUUCUUUUUCCUUGGUGUGAUUUUGUCUCGUGAUGCGCCGCCGACGUAAAGUCCUUAUUGUUAGGUGUCCCAUGGGGAACAUCCCUCUUCCCUCUCUCCAGCUGGAUUGUCUGGGCUUGGCAUAAUUGAGGAUGGAAAUCUUUCUCCCAUUUUUUGUGAGACUUUACUGCUUCUUCAGACCAACGCCAUCUCUCCAGUGUCCCUGUGCUGCACAGGAGGAGCCUGGCCUGCUGUGCUGCUCAUCAGACUCUUGUCCCACGUGUCACCAAGGGUGCCUGUCCUUGUCCUGCUCUCUCCAGGCCCUUGGUGGCUGCACUCACACACAGGAGCAGCUCAACACUCUGGUAAUUCUGGCAAAGAGGGGUUCUGGCCACCUUGGUGUUGAGUUUUAGCCCCUCAGGGCUAAAAUUGCCACGCUACUGAGUCUCCCAGAGUGAGAGGAAUAUGCUGAAAGUUCAUACUGUUUUACUACUACUUUUUUAUUAUUAUUAUUUUCAACAAGAUCAUUAUUCUGUGACCACAUCCCUACCUGGUGAAUCAAGUCUGCAGGCACAAUAGCUCCUUGCAGGCCAUUUCCCCCUUGGUUCCUUUUCUAAAUCAUAAAUAUUGAAGAUUGUGGAGGAAUUCUAUAAAGAAAGAGGUGCAUAUCUGAGCUCAUCAGGACAAUGCUAUGUUUAUAUAAACUGCUACUCGUGGUGAGGGGAUAUAUGACAAUUUUUUAUUGCUAGCAAAGGACAUAUUAUUCAAAUAUAUGUAGGGAAAAUAAAAUGAGCUCGAUAAAAUUGGGAUGCCCCUAGCAAUCAGAAUUUUACUUUGGCAUUUCAAUUAUUAUUAUUUUAUUCUGCUCACCUGCACCACAAUCAGUGCUGUACUCCUUUUGGAAGUGCCAAAAGUUCCUUAUUUUGUGCAGGUGGUGUGUCUGUGGUGGGUGAGGAGUUAUCCCAGCUUGGGGUGAGCUGCUUGGGAAUGUGCUGGGACAUCCCACCCCGCUGAUGGAUGGGCAGCCCUGUGCUGGGAUCUGGCUCCGUGGGGCUGCUGCUUCCCAGCUCUGCCUGCUGACCUCGGUGCUUUUAUCCAGAGUAACCACACGUGCAUUUAUCACACGACUUUAUGAACAGUGAAGGUUUAUUACGUUGCACUUAAACCUCGUUUAACCUUUUCUCAGGAAGCAAUGCUCUAAAGUGGGAUUGCAGGAGUUUGCAAAAUUCUGCGGGGGCUUCCCGGGCAGGGUGUGUACAGGCUCACCCCAAGAGAAAAUGCAGGUACAAACCCCACAUCUGUUGUCUUCAUCGUUCUGCUGUGAGAAAAAAUAUUGCAGCCUAGAAAAGAUUUAUGGGAAGACAUAACUUGGGAUUUUUUUUUAUUUUUUUAAUUUCCAAAUGAAUGAUUGGCUUAGAAAUAUGCGUCUCUCCCUCUUGAAUGGUGGCACUUGCAGCCCCAGUAUCUCUCUGUGCAGGUGGCCUUGGGGCAGUCCUCAGGCCCAAAGACCUCCUGUGAGCUGUCACACUGCUCAAAAGCUCCAGUCCUGCAGGGAAAAGGGAGAAAUAGAAAGCUGGAGCUGAGCACUACAGAGAGCUGCCUGGCAGGAGCAGUGCCCCAGGGGAGCAGAUGCAAAUCCGGCCACUUGGGAUGGUAGAAACUGGAGUGAAUGAGGUUCCAGCCUAAAGAUAGCAGGGAAGCAUCCUUCACAGGUGAGGAAGGGGCUUGGGAGACUCCCAGGUUGGGUAGUUUUUUUUCCAAGUGUACUUUCAGUGAUUUACAUUUCUAUUCUGGAUCAGCCUUUAGCUUGUAAAAUGUUUGUGUCGUUUGGAAGUGGAAAAACACGAUGGAAAAAAUGUGAGGGGUGAUCAACUGCACUUAGUGAAACUACAAAAAUCUUAAUUCUGGCAGAAGAAAAAAACCCUUCACUUUUGGUUUCUACAGAGCCAAAAAACUUUAUAAAAUUAGCUUUGAUCACCUCACACCUGAUGUCCCCUCCACCUCCUUGGACAUCUUCUCUCAUAGGAGUUGUAAACACAAAAGUUCCUGACCAUUGUCAAUGAAGACAUUUCUUAGCAAGCCAGAGCCCACGAAAGAAGCAGCCAAAAAUAAACACAUCUUCCAAGUGGGUGGCAAAUGUUGUCAGAGGUUGAUAGGAAUUUUCUGUAGGUCUGGGAGUGAGUAGAGGAGUUGUAGGAAUUGUAUUGAAGGUGCUUGAGCCAGAGAGUGCAGCUUGCAAGGCAACCUGACGAUGGCAUCAAUAAUUUACCUCGUGGUAUGACUGAGAUGGGUUGAGUCUUCCCAAAUCAACCUAGAGGUAAGCAAGAAUGUGCCAUAACAGUGCGUUUUGAACCACAGGAUAGAGGCUUAAUUGAUUUGCUCUUUAUUCUUUGCAAAAGACAGCUGAAUGUCAAAGGUCUUUCUUUUGUGAAGUAGUGGAAAACCCGUUGUCAAACAACCUCUACUCAUUUAAUAAUUUAUCCCAUUUUGUAAAAGAAAGGCAGCUGACACGCACUAAAUCUAGUCCAUGUUUAAAUUACUGCAUUGAACAAUAAUAAGAGGAAUGAAUAAUCUAGUACAUCUAUUUAAAAUUAAACAUAUAUGAAACUGUUUUUCCAAAUGAUCACCAAGGGCUAUAGUUUAAAGGCAGGACAGAAGCCACGAACAGAAUGAAAAUGCCGAGCAGUAGUUUGCAAGUGGCAGCAGAAUUAUUUAUUCUAUUUUUUCUAUACAUAAGGAAUAGAGCUAAAUGAACAAUGUUUAAGCAUGUCAGAAUUUCAUCAAUUUUGCAUGAGCAUUCACAAAUAUCCUGGUGGGGGUAAUUGCUUGCAAAUACAUUUAAACUAAUGAUAUGUUAUGUCCUUACUUGAUAUAAAACUAUUAAAAGAUACGUUAUUGCAUUUGACAAUGCCAUGAAGCUGGGUCAAAGCUUAAUGACAGAUUUCUGCUUUCGUAAAUUAAGAUAUACUCUGCUGGAAGCAAAUAUUUUGUAAAAAUAAAAGCCAUCUACUAUGAAAGUUUGAUCAUUGAUCUAAGGUUGCUUUUUGGUUUCUCCAACCACUGGGCUUGCAAAAGGGGAGGAAAGGGAGAUUCCAUUGCAGAGGCAGCUCUGGAAGUCCCAGUGUGGAUCUUGCACAUGCAACAGGAGUAAGGAGGCUUGUCUGAGACACCCAGUGGUUUUAACAGUCCCACUAGAGACUUGCAGUGAAGCUGGUGCACCAGCUGGUGAGGGUGCUUGGUUCUCCUGUGGGAAGAGCAAGAGAGUUUAUUCUACCUGAAGUUGAAUGUGCUGGGGAGCCUUUUUAGCUUGAAAUUCAGGAAAUGGGUACUGAUGGUGUCAAAAGACUCUGAGGAAGCCUGGUAGGCUGAGGUUGGUGUGAAGAGUUUAAGGUCUGGCCAUUGCUCAGAUCCCUGUCUGAGGUAUCCCUGGCUGGUUCAGUGUGGCAGGAGUGUGCCAUGGAGCAGCUCUGUGGGCAUCAGCUCUUAAGUUGUGACACUGUGCUGGUGAGCAAUUUCAGUUAUUUACUGAAGGUUCUAUUAAAUAUGAAGCAUUUAGAAAAUUAACUGUCCCCAGGUUGCAGCCAGGCUGCUUCCACCAGGCAGUAGAAAGGUUUUGGGGCAGUGCAGGUGCCUGGGAAAUACUGUGUUUUGUCCUAGGAGAAGCCAUGGGGAGCCCAAGAAUUGUAAAAGAGAGGGACACUGAUCAACUUUUACUAAUGGUUUCUGGAUGAUGUGAAUUUUGUGGUGAUGUGAGGCUCUGUAUCCAUAACAGCAAAGGAAGUAUUCCUUGUGGAGGGCAAUGCAUCCCACAGAGAUGCAGCCGCCCUCUGCCCGGCAGCAAGAGGAGAGGCACCAGGAAUGAUGUAAACUCACAUUUGCCCCAUCCAAAAGGCCACCUCAGACUGUUGUGAUGGGUGUGGGAUGGAUCCUGGAUGGGUCCUGGCCUGUGCUGGGGCAUCUGGAGGGGGUUUGAGCUGCUGCUUGGGGAUGUUUUAUGGUUUUUGCCGCAGCUGGCGGUCUCUGCUGUGUGGCAAUCCUGAAAUAUCCCUUCCCGUCACCUCUCACGCUCCCUUCUACUCUGAAUUGCUCUGAUUCCCAACAUCACCAAGGAUUAUUAUAACCUCCCCUCACAAGGUACCAUAAAUUUUAUUAUAAAGCACGAAUUCUUGGGCUCCCCAGCCCCAUCUUGCAGGGAGACAGUGCGCUGUAGUUCUUCCGCUCGCGGUAAUGUGAGCGGAGAGCUAAUGAAGAUCUUUAUGUAAAUUUUCCAGCUAUCAGGUGAGAUCUUCACAUCGAAAUCUGUCACAUGUUAUAAAAA